RNAcentral lists this transfer RNA (82 nucleotides) under Candidozyma auris. RNAcentral describes it as "[Candida] auris tRNA-Ser". The record is from RNAcentral. Lineage: Eukaryota; Fungi; Ascomycota; Pichiomycetes; Serinales; Metschnikowiaceae.
AUUUGUAUUAGUGCAAGAACAUAGAAAAAAAAAAAGAAGCCCGAUGCGGGGCUCGAACCCGCAACCUUUUGAUUGACCUGAU